GCCUGUAGCUCAGAUGGCUAGAGCGUUCGACUGAUAAUCGAAAGGUCGGAGGUUCAAUUCCUCCUAGGCCC
RNAcentral lists this transfer RNA (71 nucleotides) under fish gut metagenome. It matches the Rfam family "tRNA". Rfam says of the family: Transfer RNA (tRNA) molecules are approximately 80 nucleotides in length. The record is from RNAcentral.